GACGAACGCUGGCGGCGUGCUUAACACAUGCAAGUCGAACGGAAAGGCCCUGCUUUUGUGGGGUGCUCGAGUGGCGAACGGGUGAGUAACACGUGAGUAACCUGCCCUUGACUUUGGGAUAACUUCAGGAAACUGGGGCUAAUACCGGAUAGGAGCUCCUGCUGCAUGGUGGGGGUUGGAAAGUUUCGGCGGUUGGGGAUGGACUCGCGGCUUAUCCGCUUGUUGGUGGGGUAGUGGCUUACCAAGGCUUUGACGGGUAGCCGGCCUGAGAGGGUGACCGGCCACAUUGGGACUGAGAUACGGCCCAGACUCCUACGGGAGGCAGCAGUGGGGAAUAUUGCACAAUGGGCGGAAGCCUGAUGCAGCAACGCCGCGUGCGGGAUGACGGCCUUCGGGUUAUAAACCGCUUUCGCCUGUGACGAAGCGUGAGUGACGGUAAUGGGUAAAGAAGCACCGGCUAACUACGUG
This 468-nucleotide ribosomal RNA is filed under the name uncultured bacterium. RNAcentral's name for it is "partial 16S ribosomal RNA". It matches the Rfam family "Bacterial small subunit ribosomal RNA", at positions 28 to 507 of the family's 1533-position model. The record is from RNAcentral.